RNAcentral lists this ribosomal RNA (138 nucleotides) under uncultured bacterium. RNAcentral describes it as "partial 16S ribosomal RNA". It matches the Rfam family "Bacterial small subunit ribosomal RNA", at positions 355 to 509 of the family's 1533-position model. The record is from RNAcentral.
UGGGGAAUAUUGCGCAAUGGAGGAAACUCUGACGCAGUGACGCCGCGUAUAGGAAGAAGGUUUUCGGAUUGUAAACUAUUGUCGUUAGGGAAGAUAAAAGACUGUACCUAAGGAGGAAGCCCCGGCUAACUAUGUGCC